This 253-nucleotide ribosomal RNA is filed under the name uncultured bacterium. RNAcentral's name for it is "partial 16S ribosomal RNA". It matches the Rfam family "Bacterial small subunit ribosomal RNA", at positions 524 to 776 of the family's 1533-position model. The record is from RNAcentral.
UACGUAGGGUCCGAGCGUUGUCCGGAAUUAUUGGGCGUAAAGGGCUCGUAGGCGGUUUGUCGCGUCGGGAGUGAAAACCAGCAGCUUAACUGCUGGCCUGCUUUCGAUACGGGCAGACUAGAGGCAUUCAGGGGAGAGCGGAAUUCCUGGUGUAGCGGUGAAAUGCGCAGAUAUCAGGAGGAACACCGGUGGCGAAGGCGGUUCUCUGGGCUAUAACUGACGCUCAUGCACGAAAGCGUGGGGAGCAAACAGG